GUCUCAGUCGCUGUCGCUGUCGCUGCCUCUGCUGACACGGCAUCACUUUUACGAGUGCACUGAGAGAAUAAUGUCAUGCGGUUAUGACAAAAUUGAGUACAGAAUCGAUUCUGUGUACGGAAGUAGGCAUGGACCCCCCUAUUUUCCACCCAGCUGGGUGCUCAUCCGAAAUCGGUGAUAAACACGUUGAUUAAAAUGAUUUUGAUGCCGGUUGAAUGAAAGGCGAAACAAAGGAACAAAAAGAAAAA
Molecule: long non-coding RNA, 248 nt
Organism: Drosophila innubila
Lineage: Eukaryota; Metazoa; Arthropoda; Insecta; Diptera; Drosophilidae
Exons: 2
Source: RefSeq, a predicted model, not a curated record